GUUGUAAGUAGUUAAUAAGGAAUCGGUCACUCCUUGUAGGAGGAGAGAACAUCUCAUGUGAUCUCAUAGGAUGGUGACUGAGAAUCUCUGGUCAAAACAAGGAUGAACAGUAAAAAUAAUUUCUACUAGUUUAUCAAUCGGAUCAUCAUCAUUGGAUAAAGAUACAUAUGGUUAGGUAUUUGGGUUUGACAUAUUUUCAUACCCAUAGCCUUUCGAGAUGUGUGAUCAAAAGAUUGAAUUGCAUGGUAACUCGCC
Molecule: long non-coding RNA, 255 nt
Filed under: Elaeis guineensis (African oil palm)
Lineage: Eukaryota; Viridiplantae; Streptophyta; Magnoliopsida; Arecales; Arecaceae
Description: long non-coding RNA (EGUI_LNC043703)
Source: RNAcentral